UACGAAGGGUGCAAACGUUGCUCGGAAUCAUUGGGCGUAAAGCGCACGUAGGCGGCGCAGUAAGUCGGACGUGAAAUCCCUCGGCUCAACCGAGGACGUGCAUCCGAAACUACUGUGCUCGAGUAUGGAAGAGGGUCGCGGAAUUCUCGGUGUAGAGGUGAAAUUCGUAGAUAUCGGGAGGAACACCAGUGGCGAAGGCGGCGACCUGGGCCAAUACUGACGCUGAGGUGCGAAAGCAUGGGGAGCGAACAGG
RNAcentral lists this ribosomal RNA (253 nucleotides) under uncultured bacterium. RNAcentral describes it as "partial 16S ribosomal RNA". It matches the Rfam family "Bacterial small subunit ribosomal RNA", at positions 524 to 776 of the family's 1533-position model. The record is from RNAcentral.